UACGGGGGGAGCAAGCGUUGUUCGGAUUUACUGGGCGUAAAGGGCGCGUAGGCGGUCAGCACAAGUCAGUUGUGAAAUCUCCGGGCUUAACUCAGAACGGCCAAGUGAUACUGCAGUGCUAGAGUGCAGAAAGGGCAAUCGGAAUUCUUGGUGUAGCGGUGAAAUGCGUAGAUAUCAAGAGGAACACCUGAGGCGAAGGCGGGUUGCUAGGCUGACACUGACGCUGAGGCGCGAAAGCCAGGGGAGCAAACGGG
Molecule: ribosomal RNA, 254 nt
Filed under: uncultured bacterium
Lineage: Bacteria
Description: partial 16S ribosomal RNA
Rfam family: Bacterial small subunit ribosomal RNA
Source: RNAcentral